GUCCACGCCGUAAACGUUGGGCACUAGGUGUGGGUUCUAUCGACGGAUUCCGUGCCGUAGCUAACGCAUUAAGUGCCCCGCCUGGGGAGUACGGCCGCAAGGCUAAACUCAAAGGAAUUGACGGGGCCCGCACAAGCGGCGGAGCAUGUGGCUUAAUUCGAUGCGACGCGAAGAACCUUACCUGGGUUUGACAUGUGGGGAAAAGCCGUAGAGAUACGGUGUCCUUCGGGGCCCCAUACAGGUGGUGCAUGGCUGUCGU
Molecule: ribosomal RNA, 259 nt
Filed under: uncultured bacterium
Lineage: Bacteria
Description: partial 16S ribosomal RNA
Rfam family: Bacterial small subunit ribosomal RNA
Source: RNAcentral